This 428-nucleotide ribosomal RNA is filed under the name uncultured bacterium. RNAcentral's name for it is "bacterial SSU rRNA". It matches the Rfam family "Bacterial small subunit ribosomal RNA", at positions 29 to 408 of the family's 1533-position model. The record is from RNAcentral.
AACGAACGCUGGCAGCGUGGAUUAGGCAUGCAAGUCGAACGGGAAGCUAUGUGUUCAAUCUUUCGGGAGAGAACAUGUGGUAGAUAGUGGCGAAAGGGUGAGUAACACGUGGGUAACCUGCCCUCGAGUUGGGAAUAGCUCGCCGAAAGGCGGGAUAAUGCCGAAUAUGAUCUUCUGUCGCAUGACAGGAUGAUCAAAGGUGGGGAUCCUGAGGCGUGCAAACGUCUUGGGACCUAUCGCUUGAGGAGGGGCUCGCGUCCCAUCAGCUAGUUGGUGAGGUAAUGGCCCACCAAGGCUUACGGGUAGCUGGUCUGAGAGGAUGGUCAGCCACACUGGGACUGAGACACUGCCCAGACUCCUACGGGAGGCUGCAGUCGAGGAUCAUUUGCAAUGCGCGAAAGCGUGACAAUGCGACGCUGCGUGGAGGA